GGGCGAUUAACUCAGCGGCUAGAGUGCCACCUUCACACGGUGGAAGUCACUGGUUCGAAUCCAGUAUCGCCCACCA
Molecule: transfer RNA, 76 nt
Filed under: Kiritimatiella glycovorans
Lineage: Bacteria; Pseudomonadati; Kiritimatiellota; Kiritimatiellia; Kiritimatiellales; Kiritimatiellaceae
Description: tRNA-Val
Rfam family: tRNA
About the family: Transfer RNA (tRNA) molecules are approximately 80 nucleotides in length. Their secondary structure includes four short double-helical elements and three loops (D, anti-codon, and T loops).
Source: RNAcentral